Molecule: long non-coding RNA, 1156 nt
Filed under: Jatropha curcas
Lineage: Eukaryota; Viridiplantae; Streptophyta; Magnoliopsida; Malpighiales; Euphorbiaceae
Description: long non-coding RNA (JCUR_LNC003016)
Source: RNAcentral
CCACAAGCUUAUUUUGACAUGUUGAAACUGCUUAAAAAAAAUACCACUAACAAAUUUUUUUUUGAUUCAUUGAAGGCUCAAUCAGCCCAAAGGCUACACUCCAAUCACCCCUUGUUGGCACCUUAAAAACAAACUUUAUUGAUGUCUAACAAUAAUGUCAGCUCAAACAAUAAUGACAAACACACACUCCAAAGUUCUUACGAAGCUUGAAAUGCAAGGAAAAAGACACUAUUUGCCACGUUUAGGAGACAACAUGGCUCAUCCUUCCCUGCACUAACAUUUCACUCGAUCCUUCUGAGCCAGAAUACAUUUCAAUGGUAAAACCAAUCCAAAUACAUAUUCCAAAUAUGGUCCUUCCAGUAGGUCCCUGUGUUCAUUGGAGAUCUUUCAUUAGCUGGAAAUCAAAGAAGCAAAAUGCUGUUUUUAGAAGCUCUGCAGAUGCAGAAUACAGGACAAUGACUAUAACUUGUGAAAUUGUAUGGCUAUUCCAUUUGUUAUAAGUUUUUAAAUUUUCACAUAAAGGAAACUCUCUCUCUAUUAUUGUGAUAAUAUUUCUUCUAUGCAUAUACCAAAAAUCCAGUGUUCAAGAAGAGGACAAGGCACAUAGCAUUGGAUGCCAUUCUGUUUGAGAAAAGAUUGCAAAUAGAGCAGUCAAGCCUCUGUAUUUGAAGACAGAGCAGCAACUGUCAGACUAAUUCACAGUGGUUUUGUAACCUGGAUAGCACAAUUUUCCCAUAGGCAAAUUGAGUAUAGAUAAUAAUAUAUAUAUGUGCUCAACUUGAGGGGGAGUGUCAGUUAGAUAAAUAAAUCGCAAGCUUUAUAAUUCUAAUUUACUUUGUUAUGUUUAGCUAAGCUUAGUAUUUGACUUUUCCUAUACAUAUAUGAAUACAUUUUUACUAUUUGGAUAAAGUAAGAGGUAUUUUUCCAAUUUUACCUUGUAACAGAAAGGCCUAACUGACUGAUUCUUCAACUACCUGCAACAAGUGAACAAAUUAUUGAUGAGAGCACUGACAUGUAUUGGGUAAGUUUCUCGAUGCAAUCUCACUUCCUAAAAGCAGGUCUAGUGGCUAGAUAGUAACAAAAUCGCGUAUCAACAACUAGAGUUCGCAGGCAUAGUUUCUUAUUUCACUUGUGCAAUGUGUUUUCGGAAUCUAGA